This 209-nucleotide ribosomal RNA is filed under the name uncultured Latescibacterota bacterium. RNAcentral's name for it is "uncultured Latescibacteria bacterium partial 16S ribosomal RNA". It matches the Rfam family "Bacterial small subunit ribosomal RNA", at positions 568 to 774 of the family's 1533-position model. Lineage: Bacteria; Pseudomonadati; Candidatus Latescibacterota. The record is from RNAcentral.
CGUGUAGGCGGUCAGGUAAGUGGAAUGUGAAAUGCCCCCGGCUCACCCGGGGACCGGGCAUCCCAAACUGCCUGGCUUGAGUAUGGGAGAGGAUGGAGGAAUUCCUGGUGUAGCGGUGAAAUGCGUAGAUAUCAGGAGGAACACCGGUGGCGAAGGCGUCCAUCUGGCCCAAUACUGACGCUGAGGCGCGAAAGCUAGGGGAGCAAACG